GCCUCUGUAGCGUAAUGGAUAACGCGUCGGCCUCCUAACCCGGAGUCUGAAAGACAGCCGAAGAUUGCGGGUUCGAGUCCCGUCGGAGGUG
Desmophyllum pertusum is the source of this 91-nucleotide non-coding RNA. The record is from the annotation of a GenBank genome assembly. NCBI's taxonomy places the organism in Eukaryota, Metazoa, Cnidaria, Anthozoa, Scleractinia, Caryophylliidae.